Molecule: ribosomal RNA, 494 nt
Filed under: uncultured bacterium
Lineage: Bacteria
Description: partial 16S ribosomal RNA
Rfam family: Bacterial small subunit ribosomal RNA
Source: RNAcentral
GAACGCUGGCGGCGUGCCUAAUACAUGCCAGUCGAGCGAACGGACGAGAAGCUUGCUUCUCUGAUGUUAGCGGCGGACGGGUGAGUAACACGUGGAUAACCUACCUAUAAGACUGGGAUAACUUCGGGAAACCGGAGCUAAUACCGGAUAAUAUUUUGAACCGCAUGGUUCAAAAGUGAAAGACGGUCUUGCUGUCACUUAUAGAUGGAUCCGCGCUGCAUUAGCUAGUUGGUAAGGUAACGGCUUACCAAGGCAACGAUGCAUAGCCGACCUGAGAGGGUGACCGGCCACACUAGAACUGCGAAACGGUCCAGACUCCUACGGGAGGCAGCAGUAGGGACUCUUCCGCAAUGGGCGAAAGCCUGACGGAGCAACGCCGCAUGAGUGAUGAAGGUCUUCGGAUCGUAAAACUCUGUUAUUAGGGAAGAACAUAUGUGUAAGUAACUGUGCACAUCUUGACGGUACCUAAUCAGAAAGCCACGGCUAACUACGUG